This 478-nucleotide ribosomal RNA is filed under the name uncultured bacterium. RNAcentral describes it as "partial 16S ribosomal RNA". It matches the Rfam family "Bacterial small subunit ribosomal RNA", at positions 28 to 523 of the family's 1533-position model. The record is from RNAcentral.
GACGAACGCUGGCGGCAUGCCUAACACAUGCAAGUCGAGCGAGUAGAUCCCUUCGGGGUGAAGCUAGCGGCGGACGGGUGAGUAACACGUGGGCAACCUGCCUCAUAGAGGGGAAUAGCCUUCCGAAAGGAAGAUUAAUACCGCAUAAGAUUGUAGCUUCGCAUGAAGCAGCAAUUAAAGGAGCAAUCCGCUAUGAGAUGGGCCCGCGGCGCAUUAGCUAGUUGGUGAGGUAACGGCUCACCAAGGCGACGAUGCGUAGCCGACCUGGGAGGGUGAUCGGCAACAUUGGGACUGAGACACGGCCCAGACUCCUACGGGAGGCAGCAGUGGGGGAUAUUGCACAAUGGGGGAAACCCUGAUGCAGCAAUGCCGCGUGAGUGAUGACGGCCUUCGGGUUGUAAAGCUCUGUCUUCGGGGACGAUAAUGACUGUACCGGGAGAAUAAGCCCCGGCUAACUUCGUGCCAGCAGCCGCGGUAA